Molecule: unclassified non-coding RNA, 417 nt
Filed under: Hevea brasiliensis (rubber tree)
Lineage: Eukaryota; Viridiplantae; Streptophyta; Magnoliopsida; Malpighiales; Euphorbiaceae
Source: RNAcentral
ACUACUUCCAUAAGCCGAAGUGGACCUCUUACCACUUGUAAGCCUGACAACCUCCGCCGCAGCCUGAGCGGCAGCCAGUGCCGCCUCUGCAACCGCCGCAGUGGCUGCCGCAACCGCUAUAGCGUGCUUGUUCGCGUCCAGUGCUUCCGCGUAAGGGCUUGCCGGUGGGUCUUCAUUCCCAUAAGCAAUCUCAGCUCCAGUGGUUCUUCCAGUUCCAUUGGAAGAUUUUCGGAGACCCCAUUUGCUAUUCUUUCCCUCUUUCGCCGGUGGUGAUGAUUCGGACGGCGAUUUCUUAGAACCGAGAAGUGAACGUAACCAUCUGCUGGCUUUACCCAUGUAUCAUAAGUUCAUAUUCUGAGUGGAUCUCGAGACAGUGGUAAUGAAUUGAGGGGAGCAUGGGCGUGGGUAUAUAAAGGG